CGAAGAGUGACUAGCUAACUGAAAUCAAUUAAAAAUUGAUAACAUAAGGGAAAAUAAUGAUAUUACCUUAUUAUUAGUGUCGUCCAAAACUGGUGCCAGAAGACUCGGUAAGGCCAGAGACACAAACGUUAAUCGUCUUAAUCAGGCGUAAAGGGUUUGUAGGCGGCUUUAAAAUUUAUUUAAAAUAAUAUUAAGUAAAGAAUAAAAGCUAGAAUCAAAUAGAGGAUAUAUGAAAGAAUGCUUAGAGUAGGUCUGAUAUCCUUAGAUACUAAGUAGAAUAUUAAAGGCGAAAGCUUUUUUCCAUUAAUGAUUGACGCUCAGAAACGAAGGUGAGGAUAGGAAAUAGGAUUAGAUACCCAGAAUACCCCUCUCUGUCAACGAUGAAUGGUAGUUAUUAAUAAGAAUUAUUAAUGGCAAUGUUAACACGAUAACCAUUCCGCCUUGUGAGUACAACUGCAAAGUUGAAAACAAAAAAAUUAGUCGGUUUCGGAGCAAACGAAGUGAAGCAUGUUAUUUAAUAAAUAAAAUCCGCC
This 533-nucleotide ribosomal RNA is filed under the name Russula sp. RNAcentral describes it as "SSU rRNA". It matches the Rfam family "Bacterial small subunit ribosomal RNA", at positions 409 to 974 of the family's 1533-position model. The record is from RNAcentral. Lineage: Eukaryota; Fungi; Basidiomycota; Agaricomycetes; Russulales; Russulaceae.